RNAcentral lists this transfer RNA (72 nucleotides) under Capra hircus (goat). It matches the Rfam family "tRNA". From Rfam's summary of the family: Transfer RNA (tRNA) molecules are approximately 80 nucleotides in length. Their secondary structure includes four short double-helical elements and three loops (D, anti-codon, and T loops). The record is from Rfam by way of RNAcentral. Lineage: Eukaryota; Metazoa; Chordata; Mammalia; Artiodactyla; Bovidae. RNAcentral also lists the same sequence under 1 other name.
UCCUUGGUGGCUCAGAUGGUAAAGAAUCUGCCUGCAAAGCAGGAGAUCCAGGUUUGAUCCCUGGGUGGGGAA